AGUUGAGUCUUGGUUCACCAAUCUACUAGGCUUUGAAUUUCAUGGUUAAUGUUUUGUUUUAAGUGCAUGCAAGCAUGAUUCCGCCUUUUAAUUGUUAAUUGCAUGCUAUAGAUGUUGCUUAAAUGAACAUGUUUUCACAAAAUUAUCCUUCAAGUGGUAUCAGAGCCUAGGUCUAGUAGUUGGUGAAUCCUUUUGGGUUUUGUAUUAUCAUAGUUUAUGAUUUGAAUGUUGUAAUUGUUACAAGCUUUAUUCUUGCUUCUUUGAAUGUAAAUUUUGUUAGAAAAUUUGCCAUCUCAAAUGUUGUAGAUGUAGUUCAUAUGAGCAUGAAUAUUGGAGCUAAAAUUUGGUGCAAUGUUUUUGGGAAAAUUCGGCCAAAUCCAAAGGGUGGUUUUUUGGGUUCUUGUUUGACUUGUUAAAAGUGUUUUCAAGUAACUUUUGGAACCCCUAUGUACCCUAGUUUGGUUAUAUGUUAUUUCCCUUAAGUUUGAAUGGUUUUGGGAUGUUUUUUGGUGAAAAAUGUUCAUGGAAAUUUUUUGAGUUUUUCAUGAGUGUUCUUCAUUGUUCUUGACAUUUUUGCCAAGAACAAAAAGUUUGGUGUUUUGAUUCAAAGUUUUGAUUUAUUUCAUAAAGUUUUUGUUUUAUGAUUUAUCUUAUAUUUAAAUGUGUUAGAUAUUUAUUUAGAAAGGUGUAAGAAAUAUUGGUGGGUGUGUAAGGAUUAAUUCCCUUUCACACACACCACUUGCAUGACAUUUAUGUCAUGCACCACUUGCAUGACAUUUAUGUCAUGCACCACUUGCAUGCUUUAUGUCAAAGCUUCAAAAAUCAACUCACACACCACCAUCACUCACUUCUCUAAAGCCGGCCACUCCCUCAAUGGGAGUACUUUUGGGGCUUUUAUGCAAUUACAUAAAGUUUUGAUACUUUUGUGUAAUUUGCACUUUGGCCCAAAAGUUUACGUUUUUACGUUUAGGUCCAAAAACGCUAAAGGACAAAUUGUUUUGCUCCUUUAAUGAAGUUUUUGCAUUUUGUUGAAAUUUUUGGGUUCUAAUUGUAAUUACAUGAAGUAGUGGACUUUUGUGUUUUUACAAAGUGACCCCAAAAGUUUAUGUUUUUGCAAUAUAGCCCAAAAGUUGAGGUUAUUGCAUUUUGGCCCAAACUAAGUUGAGAACAAAAUUGUUUUGUCUCUUUAAAUGAGAAUUGGAUUUUCAUUUCAUUUAGCUCCAUUUAAAUCAAUUUUAUGGAUACAAAAACCAAAUGAAAAUGUUGCAUUCAAUUUAAUUAGUUAAAGUGUUAAUUGAUUAAAGGGUGAUUAUGAACCUAAGCCUACGAUAAUUGAGCUAUGUGAAAGGCCGUUCCAAAUUUGUUUGAACCAUGGGAAUGUGUAGAUUAGAUUUUGGUUGUGUAAUUUGAUUUGAUCAAAUGUUGUAAAAAGAGCAUAAGCUCUUCUUUACUUUAAAGUAAUUUGUUUUGAUCAAUUGUUGUAAAAGAGCAUAAGCUCUUCUUUACUUUAAAGUACUCAUUUUCUUGUUUUAUUUGAUAUGCAUGAAAAUGGAGUAGAGGGUCCAACGCCCCUAAGACAACACGCCUUAAUGUGAUUAAACGCGUAACUAAAAUCAAUCACCAUCCCUAGACCGAGAUUCAACACUAGGCUCGUGUUGAAUCUAAACAAAGGUUCAUAGUCAUCCUAAGGCCCUAAGGCAACUAUAUAGUCCAUCAAAUGAAUGCAAAGUUUAUGUUAGUAGUAUCAUAUACUCUUGCUUUAAAAACCGUUUUAUAAGCAUAGUGGGAGUAUUAUAUACAACUAAAUUCAAUCAAAUGGACCAAUAGUUGUAAUAGGACCAAAAUUGUUUUAAUAAAGAUUAAAAUGAAUAUUUAUAUGUGAUGAGACCUAAAAACCCUCAACCAAACCAUUAUUAAGUUGAUAAGCGUGAGAGUGCUUUGAACACUUUUUCGUGGCCUUCCACCGUGGUAGGCUCCAAUCGUUUAUGACUUGUACACCACCUUCACCCUAUCAUGAGGGAGUGCAAAGUGCAUGCUUAUACUCAGGAGGAGUUUAUUUAAAACAUUUGAUGAGGUUAAGGUAGGCAACGAGUGUGGCCAACAUCGUAUCAUCGUGAGGUCAUACUUGAACCCCUAUCUAAACCGGCAUGGUGGGAAAGAACUUAACUAAGUGAAAUGGAUGCCAACAUCGUAUCAUCGUGAGGCAUUGUUUCUAGAGGCCAAAUAAGAUGGGUAAUCACAAGAGGUUGUUGUGAAAUGAGUAAGCGUACUCUCUCAUUAUUAUUAAUGCUAGCCAACAUCAUAUCAUUGUGAGGUGGGCUUGGUAGUAGUGAGUCUCCCAUACCCUACUAAGAGUUUCCUCCAAAACUCUCGAAUUCCAAUGAGGGAUAUGGAAUUUGCCAAAAAUACUGGGUGGUGCUAUUUGAUUUAAAGACCCGGAAUCAAAUGGCUUAAAAUCAAUCAAUUUAUAUUCGUUAUGUAUUUUUUACCAAUAUAUUUGCAAACGCUAUCCAAAACUUGACAAAAAAAGCCGAAUGCUUUAGUUUCCAGGACUUGGUACCACAAUCCCAAAGAUUGUCUUAAAUGGAUUGUAUAUGUACCUAAGUAGUCUAAUCCUCACAAUCUUCCUAUUGAUAAUGUAUCAUUGGAAGAACAUGUUAGAUAAGUCUAUCAUAAAGAGGACAACACUUUUAAUGUCAUAGUUUCUUCACUUACAAAUCGUUGUAUGAAGAAAUAAGAGUUGCUUUGAACAACCCUUAGCUAAUACAAACACUAGUGCUUGUUUCUUUGUUAAAUGAACAAAGAACUUGAGAAGAAAGCACAAAGGCAUGGACACUUUAUGUGCCAUGAUUCUUCACUUACAAAUUGUUGUAUGAAGAAAUGAGAGUUGCCUUGAACAACUCUUGAAAGUUUGUAAUUAUGUUUAGAACAUAAUGGUUGGUUGACAAAAAUAGUCCAUCACAUGGACUUAUGAUGAUUUUGAAUCAUUGAGUGUUGAAGUGUUAAACCACUUCUAGAGACGGAAACUAAGCAAGGACUUCACCUUUGUGUCCCUAUCCAAAUGGUUCACUAAGUUUAUUGUAAACUAUAUAGUGAACAAUAACCACACACUCUCCAAAUCGUUGGAUGUGUAUAACACAAUUGAAAUAAGUUUCAAGAGAGAUAGUGGGAGUUUAGGGACCAUGACUAUUGUAGUCAAAGGAGAAGUCAAAUAAAGAAAGGGAAAUAACUCCAAGGGAACAAACUUUCUUUAUGAAAGGAUGGACAUUGGAAGGGGUAUUUGCAAGAAAUGUCUUGCAAGUGUCAAGAACACACCUUUCGAAUGUGUUGUAAAUUGUUCUUGAAUAGUUCAAAACAGUUGGUUCUUCUACUUGAAUGCUUGAUUCCGUAUUAGUAACUAUGUUUUACAAUCGUUGUAAAAGUGUGACUAAUAAGAAGUAGAAGAUAUAUGAGAGAAGAAAAAGGUGCUUCACAUUUGGAACGUGAAUAAAAUAUAGAUCUCUGCGAAAGCAGAUAGUACUUACUUCCUCAUAUGAACUACCAAAGAAAUUGGAAAAACCAAAGAUUGUCUUUACAUUCCAAUUUUAAGGAACUUAAUUCCGUCACUAUAGUAGAGAUGGAUGAAUGUUUUGUUUGACAAAACAUUGUUCCUUAUUAAUCAAUGAUUGGAUUAUAGUAAUCUAAUUGAUUGUCUCUAUAGUAGAGAUAAUGUGGUAGUGUUAACUGUUUAGAAUAUAAGGAUGCUUAAAACUCAAAAGGUUGCAAGAUAGUGACUAAUCCCAACUGAGUUGUGAUACCUCUAAAAACAUAAAAUACGAGUUGGUCAUAGAUGGAUGCUUUGGAUCGUUAGAUUCGGAUCCAAUACCUUCUUAUUAAAGUUGUAUAGAGGCGAAAUGUUCGAAUCUUUAUUCUUUUGGAAAGAAGAAAGAAUCACAAAGUUGUUGAGGUUAAUUCACUUAGAUGUUAGUGGCACUUGUCCACAACAUAAUACUACUCAUGUUGUUUGACAUUCACCGAAGAUCGCUCUCGGUUGGACUAUAGUUUAUUUUGAAUAACACAAGUUUGAAUACUUUGCAAAAGGUUUCAAAGAAUUCAAGAAAUGUAAGUUGAUGAGUAAGACGUCCAAAGUAUUUGCCUCCUUACAUUUGAUCCAAGGAAAGAUAACACUUUAGAACAGUUUCCUUGAAUAAUAUCAAGGAAAGAAGCAUCAAAAGAUAAUGGAUUUCUCCAUUAGGAGAAGAACGAACUUGAAUAAGAUUUAGUUCGUUGGAUGUUAUCAAUUACCCAUAUAUAGGAUAUAUGCUUCUAAGACAAUAUGAUUGUCAAUUAGAAGAUCUUCCAAAAUUUUCAUGACUCCAUAAGAUGUAGUUGGAAAGAAAGACAAAUCUUAAUCAUGUUAAGAUUUGGGGUUGUGUGCUAAUAAGCAAUAUUUGUUUGAGAAUUAUCUUGUGGGUAUCCUUAAAUUAACAUUUGGAUAUCACUUCUAUAAACCAACUAACAAAUGUUGUUUGUUGGGUAGUUCAUUGUAAUCCUACACAAGGAUUUGCCUAAGAUAGAGCAAUGAACGAGAGAUAGAACUCAAAGAAUGGGUUCUUUGAGAGACAAGAUAAUAAUCAACAAAUAUAACAACCUAGUUCCUAUACCAAAAGCUCCAAGGUAGUCGAGAAGGAUUUAUAAACUGUCUCAGUUGAAUGGUUUGAACUUUAUGACUAUGUCAUAGAGUUGCACCUCUUAAUUCGAAAGAAAUAAGAAUGAAAAUCCUUAUGACUACAUUGAGUGUAUAUAUGAUAUAUACUCAAGGAAAUGGUAAAGUACCAUUUGACCCGAAAUAAUGAAACCUUCAUAAGCUAAUUGGUAACUUAAGGUGACUACAAUCAAAGAGAAUGGUUGACUUUGAUGAAACCAUCUUUGACGUAGUCUUAGUUUCAAUUAAUUCAAAGAUUGCUAGCUACAACUAAAUUAUGAUUCAAUGUUUGGACAUUAUAUGGGUUUUCGAAACCAUUAUUAAGAUAGUCUUGAUAAUAUAUAUGUCUAAAACUAUGAAUCACAAGACAUGUAAGUUGUAGAGAUCCAUCCAUCAUGAAUCUUAGCAAGCUAGUGGGAGCUAUAAGCGUCUUAUGAGAGAAAGAUCAAAUCGUUUGAUUUCUCAUAAAGAUGUGAAUGAAUCUUUUGUUUACUAGGUUUACAAAAGAUUAGUGGGAAUUAAUCAAAUUCCUAAAUUUGAAAUAUAUAUAUGAUAAUAUAUUAUUUUUUGGAAAUGAAAAGAAUACCUCUUCGUUAAAGUUAUGACUUUAAACAUUCUAUAACGAUAGAAUGUAUAUGGGAGAUAUAGUCUAAAUACAUGGGAUAGAAAUCUAUAAUGAUAUAUUUCAAGAUAUAAUUUGAUUAUAUCAAUCCCUAAUAAUAGACAAUAAAUGCUAGGAAGUUUCUCAUAUGAUGAUAAACUUCAAUUAGAAGGACGACUCUAGUGAGACUAGCAAGUUGCCCUUCUCAAAGGGAACGUACCCUUUUGACUCCCAAAGAAAUAAUGCGUAAAUAGAAUCCUUUAUGCAUACGCAGAAAGGUGAUUUAUGUAUUUCAUAUUGUAUGAAAACAUUGAUAUGAGUUGUACCUAGAAAGGUACAAGACGAUAUCAGUGCAAGCCCAGGAUCAGAAUCAUGGCAAUUGUCAAGUGAGUCCUUGAGUAUUUAAGAAAUACUAAAGGAUAGAUUCCUCAAAGAAUGAGGAAGAAUUAGAGUAACGUAAUGGAAGCGUAAAUGUAUUAGAUUAUGAAUCUAAUCCAUCAUUGGAUGUUUCUUCAUUAUGAAUGAAGAAAUAAUCAGAUAUCUCUUUAUUAUGACUAAAGAGAUAUUUGGAUGGAAACAUUAAAAGUAAUGACUUUAGUGUGUUCCAUUAUGAAUGCAAAAUAUAUUGCCAUAUAGAAGCUUACAACAAUGUUGUUUGGAUGGGAAAGUUCAUUUAUGAACUCUCUAUUCGGUUCCAACCAGAAAGUGUAUCUAGUGUACUAACACUACGACACUAAUGGGGCGAUAGCUCAAGCCAGGGAAUUGAUAGGAGCAUAUUUAUGCGACUUAAUUGGCUUGUUCUCGUGCGUUUACGUUGUGUUUCCUUAGUUAUUUUAGCGUUUAAAGUCAUUUUCGUAUGUUUGUAGGUCUUAAUAACAACGUUGGCAAGAAAAGUGCAUUUUGGUGCAUUUUGGAUCAAAAUUGGGCUGAAAUGGAUUGCAUGCAUGAGGAUGGACGUUUUGGGCAUAUGUGUGUGCAAGUGCGUGUGUGCAAAUGCAAGGGUAAACAAUGACAACUCAUACACAUGCAAACUCACGGCAAUGGGAAGGAAUUGUGUUUGUUUUGUGGCUGAAAUGAUGUGUGUGUAAGUGUAACAACUAGGAUGAAACAUGGCAGCACACACAUGCAAAGAGGAGCUGGAAUCAUCUUUCACACAAAUGCAGCAACAACCCCUCAUCAUUACACAACAUUUCUGCCACAAAACACAUGCAAAGACACCCAUAUGCAAAGUGGAAGAAAGGCACGGCAAAGGGGAAGGAAUUGUGCUUGUUUUGUGGUUGAAGUGAUGCAAAGAACAUGUGUGUGUGCAAGUGUAAUAGCUAGGAUGAUAACAUGGCAGCAAACACAUGUCAAAGAAACGAACAUGGCAGCAAACACAUGGAGCACACGGCAUGGGCAGAAAAUGUGUGUGUUUUGUGGUUGAAAUGAUGAAGCAUGUGUGUGUAAAUAAAAAGGGGAAACAUGACAGCUCACACCCACACAAGCUGCACAUGCAAAGGAAAUGGAGUGGUCCUCUCUCAAGCCUAUAAAUACCACCUCCCAUAUUCAUCAACAUAACACAUUUUUGGAUCCUUGUCUUUGCCGUGAGUUUUCCACCACCAUUCUCUCCAAAUUCAGCCAAAAAUCACCCCUAGCCACACUACCCAUCAACCCUAAACCUUUCCAUACCAUUCCCCAUCCAUUCUACACCAUAAAAACCACCCAAACCCUGUCCAAAACCUCUCUGCCGCAGCAAGGAAGAAGAAGGAACUUUGGAUGCACCUGCUGCCAAGUUGGAGUGUUUUAGGUGUUCUCUUUCUUUGAAUUUUAAUGUCUAAUUUUAUGUAUCUUUCCUUUGCAAGUAUAAGGAACUAAACCCCCCUUGGCUAGGGGGGGAUUCAAAACCAUGUUUAUGCUUGCUAUAUGAUUUGAUUACUUCCAAUUAUGUUUCAUGAAUUGUGAAUUUAAUUUACUUAUCUCUAUGAAUUAAAACUAAUUUGUGUAUGUUGGUUGAGAGUGCACGCUUAAUUUUCAUGCAUAAGUUUGAUGCUAGGAUAUAAGGGAGUUUCACCUAAUCGUUAUGAACUUAUAUUCAUAAGUAGUAAAGGUUGUUGAUCACAAUCAUGUUAAGUAAAUUCUUGGCAUAAGUUUCAUGCAAUUCAUAGUAACAAGUGCCUCGCCAAUGCUUAUGGUUUUCAUAGAACUUAAUGAUUCUUGCUUGUAUCUCUAUUAUGCAAUUCAUGUAGGGGACUUGUGAGGAAUGCUUUGGGUUGUCGUAUGCAAUUCAUCCAAUUCAAUAACUUUAGGGAAAAUCUGAGGUUAAUUAGUGCAAUUCACAGUUAAUCUAGGGUGUUGGGAAUUCAUGGUGUGUCGAAGAGCAAUUGGAAAUCAUUUUGUAUGCAAGUAUAACAUGUGUGGAGAAGAACCCCUUAGCUAGCUUCUCAUCCAUUCAAUUUAAUCAAUCUCGUUUUACAAUCUGCUAGUUCUUAAAGUUUUUGUUUAGUUUUAAAUUUCGUCAAGAACCAAUCUCCCAUUUAUUUCAAAGUGUUAGAUUAGUUAGUAAUCACUUUAGUUUGUGUUUUUAAGUGUUUUGAUUCAAGUGGUAAACCAAUUUCGUCCGAAUUUGUGUUUGUGCUCAAAACUGCCCAGAAAGUGUUUUUAAGGCAGUUUUGAGACUUUUGAUUGCUGUUUUGAAUCUUUUUGUUUAUCUUAGUGUUUUAAACUUUAGUUUUGCAUUCUUCGAGUCUAGUUUAGUGUUUCAAACUUUGUUUUUAAGUUUUGAGUCAGUUUUCAAGUGAUUUGGCAAUCCCUCCUAAUCCCCGGCCUAGAACGAUCCCUACUUACAUACUUGCUACAAUUGAUAAAAAGAGGGUUUAAUUUGUGUGCUUAUAGAUUUCGCAUUAGGAAUCAAGGUCUUAUCAAGAUCUGAACUCAUACGAGAGACUGAACCACAUAAUUGAGAAUCAUGUAUAAUGGUGACGUCGUUAUUCUCAAGGUUGCUUCUAUAGAUAACAUAUAGAUAUCCAUUACCUAGGCCUACUACUCAGCCAUUUUUGAAAUGACUACAGAAGAGGUAUCAUCAUUGAUAACCAAGUUGAUUGGCUCUAGUGCAAGUGGGAGAUUGUUGGAAAUGUGCCCUAAAACCAAUCAUAUGAUGAUACUUUACGGACAUUUCACAUGUUAAACUAAUCUAGUUUAAUAUCAAGGGCAAAGAUUAUUGUUUAAGCCAUCUCAUAUAAAUGUUAUAUGCUUAAACGAUAAGUCCAAGGAAUAUGUAAUUAGGAGAAUAUGAUUUAAACAAGUUAGAUUAAUGAGACCAUUUUCUCGUAUACAUAUCCUAAACGUUCCUGAUCAUAGGAUUGCUAAUUGGGCAUUGACAGUCCGUUAAGAUCAGUACGUGAUGUGUCUUCUCUCAGGGAGAGUGACUAGUCUCUAGUCAUUGGUGUGUGUGACAUCAAGACAAGCAUGUAGGUGCUCAAUAGCGAAUGAGUCCACUGAACACGAUCAACGAGGAGUUCUCAUACUCAUGUCACAUGAGAACUCAUGGUUGGGAUAAUGCAAAGUAGUCCUUUGACCUGAGGCAUCAUAGUUGUCUUGUGGUUAAGUCCUUGAUCUUUGAUUGUGUCAAAGUCACUCCAUUCGAGGGGUGUCCACGGCAUCGUUGGGGUUAAGCCACUUAGCCAUGGAGGCAAGUGAAUGCGCAACAAGGGAUCUCUAACCUUCAAACCGUUUGAGGGAGAAUACUCUAUGAUAUGAUUAAGAAUCUCUGGCCAAAGUAUGAAUGAGAUUUAGGAAGUCGUUCCAAAUCACAUUCAAGGUAAUCAUAUAAGCACACGAAUCACAUUGGAUAGUCGACAUGAAUAAACUAAACUAUCAAACCAAACAAUGUGGUCAAGAGUAUUGUAUUAGAGAAAGACCGUAUUGCAUUUGUAAUCCUAAACUGAAUAGGUUCUCCACCUCUUCUGAUUAGCUUGGGUAACCAUGAUAUGCUGCUAGGUGUCACUCAUGGUUUGUGGAAGCCCUAAAUGUGUAGAAACACUGAAGGGAGAAUUGAAAGUAAGUUUCAAUUCACAAUCGAUUUGAAAGAGUUUUAAUCGCCCACUGCCUCGCUAAAAGGGAACCUAAUGGAUCGUACACCGUGUAAGGUAGAGAUUGAAGAAACAACGGAGAUGAGUAAGAAUAAUUAAAUGGUUUAAUUAUUUAUGGCAAGGAUUAAUUAAUAUGUUAAUUAAUCAAACGAAUAAGUUCGUUAAAGACCUCGGGAUAGUUUUGGACCUUAAGGCCCAAUGGGCUUCGAACGUCAAGUCCAUUGACUGCCCAAUAGUCCAAUGAAUCCCUAUGGCCGGCCAUUUAGAGAUGGAGUGGGUUUUUGGACUUAUUUACAAGCUUGCCACUCCAAUGAAUUAAGGUAUAAAUAUGACUUUAUAGCCAAAAUUCAUUUAGGGUUUCUUUUUGGGAAAGGAUGAGAACACAAAGCUCUCAUUUCUCUCUAAAGAGGCCGGCCACCCUAGAGGAGAUUAGCUAGCAAUCCAACUUCCUCUAGGUCACUCAUUUCUACUUAAAUCUAACCUUGGUGUGGAGACUUAGAGGUUCUCUAUUUUGAGAACUUGGAGAAACAUAUUCUUCCAUCCAAAUCCAUAGAUCUAAGAAGCAAGGAAUGAAGGCCCUCUCUUUGGGUGAUUAGCCUUUGCUUAUGCAAAGAGGAAUCUACAAAAGGUAUAAAUCUCAACUCACUUUGUUUUGAGUUGAGUCUUGGUUCACCAAUCUACUAGGCUUUGAAUUUCAUGGUUAAUGUUUUGUUUUAAGUGCAUACAAGCAUGAUUCCACCUUUUAAUUGUUAAUUGCAUGCUAUAGAUGUUGCUUAAAUGAACAUGUUUCACAAAAUUAUCCUUCAGUUUAUGCUCUUUACAACAUUUCAAUAAAACAAAUUACUUUAAAGUAAAGAAAAGCUUAUGCUCUUUUACAACAUUUGAUCAAAUGAAAUUACAACCAAAAUCUAAUCUACACAUUCCCAUGGUUCAAACAAAUUUGAGACGGCCUUUCACAUAGCUCAAUUAUAAUAGGCUUAGGUUCAUAAUCACCCUUUCUUUAAUUAAUUAACGCUUUAACUAAUUAAACUUUGAAUGCAACAUGGUCAUUUGGUUUUUGUAUCCAUAAAAUUGAUUUAAAUGGUGCUAAAUGAAAUGAAAAUCCAAUUCUCAUUUAAAGAGACAAAACCAUUUUGUUCUCAACCUAAUUUGGGCCAAAAUGCAAUAAUCUCAACUUUUUGGGCUAUGUUGCAAAACUUAAACUUUUGAGCUUAUUUUGCAAAAACACAAAAGUUCAUUACUUCAUGUAAUUACAACUAAAACCCAAAAAUUUCAAUAAAUUCAAAAACUUCAUUAAAGGAACAAAACAAUUUGUCCUUUAGUGAUUUUGUGCCUUUACGUAAAAAACGUAAACUUUUGGGCCAAAGUGCAAAUACACAAAAGUACCAAAACUUUAUGUAAUUGCAUAAAAGCCCCAAAAGCACCCCACUUGUAGGGUGGCCGGUUUUAGAGAGAGUGAGGAAUGCAAAAUUUUGAAAUUUUUUCACAAAGUCAUAAAGCCAUGCAAGUGGUGUGUGUGACAUAAAUUCAUGCAAGUGGUGUGUGUGCAAGAGAAGUACUUGUUACACACCCAUCACCAUUUCUAUCACCUUUCAAAAUUUCAAUCACAUUAAAACAUUUGAUAAAGCACAAAACAAAGACUUUAUGAAAUAAAUCAAAACACCAAACUUUUUGUUCUUGGUUAAAAUGUCAAGAACAAUGAAGAACAUUCAUGAAAAACCCAUAAAAGCUUCAUGAACAUUUUUCAUCCAAAGACAUCCCAAAAAACACUCAAACUUAAGGGAAAUAACAUAUAACCAAACUAGGGUACAUAGGGGUUCCAAA
This 11176-nucleotide long non-coding RNA is filed under the name Malus domestica (apple). RNAcentral's name for it is "long non-coding RNA (MDOM_LNC018119)". Lineage: Eukaryota; Viridiplantae; Streptophyta; Magnoliopsida; Rosales; Rosaceae. The record is from RNAcentral.